RNAcentral lists this ribosomal RNA (498 nucleotides) under uncultured bacterium. RNAcentral describes it as "partial 16S ribosomal RNA". It matches the Rfam family "Bacterial small subunit ribosomal RNA", at positions 28 to 523 of the family's 1533-position model. The record is from RNAcentral.
GAUGAACGCUAGCGGCAGGCCUAAUACAUGCAAGUCGAACGGGAUUGAGGAGCUUGCUCCUCAUGAGAGUGGCGCACGGGUGCGUAACACGUAUGUAACCUACCUUAAUCAGGGGGAUAGCCUCUCGAAAGAGAGAUUAACACCGCAUAACAUUAUUGGAUAGCAUUAUUUAAUAAUCAAAUAUUUAUAGGAUUAAGAUGGGCAUGCGGAACAUUAGCUAGUUGGUAAGGUAACGGCUUACCAAGGCUACGAUGUUUAGGGGAUCUGAGAGGAUGACCCCCCACACUGGUACUGAGACACGGACCAGACUCCUACGGGAGGCAGCAGUAAGGAAUAUUGGUCAAUGGGCGCAAGCCUGAACCAGCCAUGCCGCGUGCAGGAAGACGGCCCUACGGGUUGUAAACUGCUUUUGUACCGGAAUAAACCCUUUUACGUGUAAGAGGCUGAAUGUACGGUAAGAAUAAGGAUCGGCUAACUCCGUGCCAGCCGCCGCGGUAA